GACGAACGCUGGCGGCGUGCUUAACACAUGCAAGUCGAACGGAAAGGCCCUGCUUUUGGGGGGUGCGCGAGGGGCGAACGGGUGAGUAACACGUGAGUGACCUGCCCUUGACUUUGGGAUAACUUCAGGAAACUGGGGCUAAUACCGGAUAGGAGCUCCUGCGGCAGGGUGGGGGUGGGAAAGUUUCGGCGGUUGGGGAUGGACUCGCGGCUUAUCAGCUUGUUGGUGGGGUAGUGGCUUACCAAGGCUUUGACGGGUAGCCGGCCUGAGAGGGUGACCGGCCACAUUGGGACUGAGAUACGGCCCAGACUCCUACGGGAGGCAGCAGUGGGGAAUAUUGCACAAUGGGCGGAAGCCUGAUGCAGCAACGCCGCGUGCGGGAUGACGGCCUUCGGGUUGUAAACCGCUUUCGCCUGUGACGAAGCGUGAGUGACGGUAAUGGGUAAAGAAGCACCGGCUAACUACGUG
RNAcentral lists this ribosomal RNA (468 nucleotides) under uncultured bacterium. Its description in RNAcentral is "partial 16S ribosomal RNA". It matches the Rfam family "Bacterial small subunit ribosomal RNA", at positions 28 to 507 of the family's 1533-position model. The record is from RNAcentral.